Molecule: ribosomal RNA, 468 nt
Filed under: uncultured bacterium
Lineage: Bacteria
Description: partial 16S ribosomal RNA
Rfam family: Bacterial small subunit ribosomal RNA
Source: RNAcentral
GACGAACGCUGGCGGCGUGCUUAACACAUGCAAGUCGAACGGAAAGGCCCUGCUUUUGUGGGGUGCUCGAGUGGCGAACGGGUGAGUAACACGUGAGUAACCUGCCCUUGACUUUGGGAUAACUUCAGGAAACUGGGGCUAAUACCGGAUAGGAGCUCCUGCUGCAUGGUGGGGGUUGGAAAGUUUCGGCGGAUGGGGAUGGACUCGCGGCUUAUCAGCUUGUUGGUGGGGUAGUGGCUUACCAAGGCUUUGACGGGUAGCCGGCCUGAGAGGGUGACCGGCCACAUUGGGACUGAGAUACGGCCCAGACUGCUACGGGAGGCAGCAGUGGGGAAUAUUGCACAAUGGGCGGAAGCCUGAUGCAGCAACGCCGCGUGCGGGAUGACGGCCUUCGGGUUGUAAACCGCUUUCGCCUGUGACGAAGCGUGAGUGACGGUAAUGGGUAAAGAAGCACCGGCUAACUACGUG